UCGGGAAUUUUGGGCAAUGGGGGAAACCCUGACCCAGCAACGCCGCGUGAAGGAUGAAGUAUUUCGGUAUGUAAACUUCGAAAGAAUAGGAAGAAUAAAUGACGGUACUAUUUAUAAGGUCCGGCUAACUACGUGCCAGCAGCCGCGGUAAUACGUAGGGACCAAGCGUUGUUCGGAUUUACUGGGCGUAAAGGGCGCGUAGGCGGCAUGACAAGUCACUUGUGAAAUCUCCGGGCUUAACUCGGAACGGCCAAGUGAUACUGUCACGCUAGAGUAUUGGAGGGGCAAUCGGAAUUCUUGGUGUAGCGGUGAAAUGCGUAGAUAUCAAGAGGAACACCUGAGGUGAAGACGGGUUGCUGGCCAAAUACUGACGCUGAGGCGCGAAAGCCAGGGGAGCAAACGGGAUUAGAUACCCAGGUAGUCCCUGAGCGGGCUGGCAAGGCGCAU
RNAcentral lists this ribosomal RNA (447 nucleotides) under uncultured bacterium. RNAcentral's name for it is "bacterial SSU rRNA". It matches the Rfam family "Bacterial small subunit ribosomal RNA", at positions 355 to 825 of the family's 1533-position model. The record is from RNAcentral.